Molecule: ribosomal RNA, 497 nt
Filed under: uncultured bacterium
Lineage: Bacteria
Description: partial 16S ribosomal RNA
Rfam family: Bacterial small subunit ribosomal RNA
Source: RNAcentral
GAUGAACGCUGGCGGCGUGCCUAAUACAUGCAAGUCGAGCGAACAGAUGGGGAGCUUGCUCCUCUGACGUUAGCGGCGGACGGGUGAGUAACACGUGGAUAACCUACCUAUAAGACUGGGAUAACUUCGGGAAACCGGAGCUAAUACCGGAUAAUAUAUUGAACCGCACGGUUCAAUAGUGAAAGACGGUUUUGCUGUCACUUAUAGAUGGAUCCGCGCCGCAUUAGCUAGUUGGUAAGGUAACGGCUUACCAAGGCGACGAUGCGUAGCCGACCUGAGAGGGUGAUCGGCCACACUGGAACUGAGACACGGUCCAGACUCCUACGGGAGGCAGCAGUAGGGAAUCUUCCGCAAUGGGCGAAAGCCUGACGGAGCAACGCCGCGUGAGUGAUGAAGGUCUUCGGAUCGUAAAACUCUGUUAUUAGGGAAGAACAAAUGUGUAAGUAACUAUGCACGUCUUGACGGUACCUAAUCAGAAAGCCACGGCUAACUACGUG